GCCGUUUCCGUUUGGCGCAAGGCGAUUUACACGAGUCCGCUCCUUUUUUAAUGGAUCGUCCCACUAGGCACUAACUUAUAUGAGAAAACAUGUGGAGCCUAAAUAUGAAAUUAAACUAGGAGGAUGCCAUGUCAUUAUCGUGUCUGGUCGUACCUCAAAGCUGAAUAAGAAAGAUAAUCGUGGAUCAAGUCAAUUGCGUCUACACCUUUGGCGCAUAUUCAAACUUUAUAUUUAGAUAAUUGUUAACUUACUGUAAUAGUGAUGGGACUUGGGAGUACACAUCCUGGCUCUGGCUCCUGCA
RNAcentral lists this long non-coding RNA (301 nucleotides) under Solanum tuberosum (potato). RNAcentral describes it as "long non-coding RNA (STUB_LNC003283)". The record is from RNAcentral. Lineage: Eukaryota; Viridiplantae; Streptophyta; Magnoliopsida; Solanales; Solanaceae.